RNAcentral lists this ribosomal RNA (521 nucleotides) under uncultured bacterium. RNAcentral describes it as "bacterial SSU rRNA". It matches the Rfam family "Bacterial small subunit ribosomal RNA", at positions 988 to 1509 of the family's 1533-position model. The record is from RNAcentral.
CCAGAGAACUUAGCAGAGAUGCUUUGGUGCCUUCGGGAACUCUGAGACAGGUGCUGCAUGGCUGUCGUCAGCUCGUGUUGUGAAAUGUUGGGUUAAGUCCCGCAACGAGCGCAACCCUUAUCCUUUGUUGCCAGCGGCUCGGCCGGGAACUCAAAGGAGACUGCCGGUGAUAAACCGGAGGAAGGUGGGGAUGACGUCAAGUCAUCAUGGCCCUUACGGCCAGGGCUACACACGUGCUACAAUGGCGCAUACAAAGAGAAGCGACCUCGCGAGAGCAAGCGGACCUCAUAAAGUGCGUCGUAGUCCGGAUCGGAGUCUGCAACUCGACUCCAUGAAGUCGGAAUCGCUAGUAAUCGUAGAUCAGAAUGCUACGGUGAAUACGUUCCCGGGCCUUGUACACACCGCCCGUCACACCAUGGGAGUGGGUUGCAAAAGAAGUAGGUAGCUUAACCUUCGGGAGGGCGCUUACCACUUUGUGAUUCAUGACUGGGGUGAAGUCGUAACAAGGUAGGCGUAGCGAG